This 622-nucleotide long non-coding RNA is filed under the name Brassica rapa (field mustard). RNAcentral's name for it is "long non-coding RNA (BRAP_LNC003757)". Lineage: Eukaryota; Viridiplantae; Streptophyta; Magnoliopsida; Brassicales; Brassicaceae. The record is from RNAcentral.
CUAAAUUAACUUUGCCAUAUAUGGCUCAACCAAUGAGAUACUCCCAUCUUAAAUCCAGGCAUAAAUUCCACAUUUUUGUAAAGACCCAUUGUUGGUUUUGUUAUGAGGUAUCAUAUAAUUGUGUUGGAAAUGCAACAAAAUCGUUUGGUUUAAAAAAGUUCUUUUUGGAAGUUAUUUAAAAAAAAAUUGGUGUGAGUAUUUAUUUCUUCUUGUCAAAAUAGGUAUUUAUUUUUUUGUAUUUAGAGUGGCGGUUGUAUUUAUAUAUUUUUAAAUUGUGUUGAUUUUGUUUAUAAUAUAUAAAUACAUGUAGCUAUAUAAUGACUUCUAUUUAUAUUAUUGUAUAUAUAAUUUUGUAUUUAAUUACAUUUUGAGGUGCUUUAUUUUUUUUUUCCAAGGUAUGUUUUAUUUCUAAAUGAUUUUAAAAAUAAAUCAUGUACAAUUAUAUCAUUCUUAUUUUAAUCAAAAACAACAAACAAUAUGACAAUAAAUUUUUUUAAUGAUAUCAUUGUUUAUUGGUAAAUUUAAAAAUUCUGAUAAUAGUAUUUGUUGUUCGAAAUAUCUAUUUUAAAUUUUUUUUUUAAUUGAAUGUUAAACUGAAUUCAAAGAAGAAAUAACCUUGUUA